UACGUAGGAUCCAAGCGUUAUCCGGAAUUACUGGGCGUAAAGCGUACGUAGGUGGAUGUUUAAGUGAGAUGCGAAAUCUGGCGGCUCAACCGUCUAGACUGUGUCUCAUACUGGGCACCUUGAGGUUGGCAGAGGCAAGUGGAGUUUCCGGUGUAGCAGUGAAAUGCGUAGAUAUCGGGAGGAACACCUGUGGCGAAAGCGGCUCACUGGACCACAACUGACGCUGAUGCGCGAAAGCUAGGGGAGCAAACAGG
This 254-nucleotide ribosomal RNA is filed under the name uncultured bacterium. Its description in RNAcentral is "partial 16S ribosomal RNA". It matches the Rfam family "Bacterial small subunit ribosomal RNA", at positions 524 to 776 of the family's 1533-position model. The record is from RNAcentral.